Carassius auratus (goldfish) is the source of this 447-nucleotide long non-coding RNA. RefSeq lists it as uncharacterized. Lineage: Eukaryota; Metazoa; Chordata; Actinopteri; Cypriniformes; Cyprinidae. The transcript is spliced from 3 exons. The record is from RefSeq and is a predicted model, not a curated record.
CAGGUGGACGUCUGAGAGGCUGGCGUCAUUAUCCACUUGACGCCGCAUUUCAGCGCGUUGUCUGACGGAAAGGCUGGAUUAGUGAUCAAUCCCACACCGAAAACAUCAUUUUCAAGAAGUCAGUUAUGCCGACUAUCAAAAAAAAACUCCUCUUGGGAGGUCAGAAGUUCAAGGCCCUGGUUUACCAAGCUGGCUCGAUGAUGAGAAAACCACUUUUGGUGUUACAACGCUCCAGUAAAGCACAGCUGCAAUCACUAUAGGAGAGAUGGUAGGUUUGGUGUCCCAACGCCUCAUUACAAUGAUGGGAGAACCAUCUCCAGAUCUCUGCGGUGGCCCUGUGAAUCACUAAUGUAAACGUAUACACACACACACACACAUGCACCUUAACUUACUGUAUAUUUUUCUUAAUAGCUGAAGAUCUGAACAUACAGUGAUUUAUUGCAUUGA